This is a long non-coding RNA of Peromyscus maniculatus bairdii (prairie deer mouse), 1218 nucleotides long. RefSeq lists it as uncharacterized. Lineage: Eukaryota; Metazoa; Chordata; Mammalia; Rodentia; Cricetidae. The record is from RefSeq and is a predicted model, not a curated record.
UGAUGGAGUUGCAGCAUCCCUUAGCCUCAGGUCCCCCGGAGGGGGAGGGAACAGGAAGCGGGAGGGAAUAGCAGCCAUUUCUCUGCACUGACCGAUCUCCACGCUUGCAGCUCCCACCCAUUUCCCCGGAAUCCAGGCGACUCCCGCGCUUAGUGUUGCGCCAUGCUGGAUAUUUUCAUCCUCAUGUUCUUUGCCAUCAUAGGCCUGGUGGUUCUGUCCUACAUUAUCUAUCUGCUCUAGUGGCCUGGAGCGGCCGGGGCUGCGAGGGGAAGGAUGGAGCUGAAGCGCCGAGCAUCCUGCUUGCUGACGCACCGGUGGAUUUUUGCUUCGGGUCAUUAUUCGGCUCCGGUGUCCCGUCCAGCAAGACGGCUCUGCCCAAAAGCAGGAGUCCGGAGGCCCAACUGACUUCUUCCAAUGUGUCCGGAUGUGGCUAACCCUUGGCAAGCAGGGGCUCUGUGAGGCAGAGGCACUCCUGGGGACAUCAGGAGUUCAAGGAUGCCUGGCAGCUGCUGCAUGUGUUUAAGCUGUAGACAGGGUGUAUUGAAAAUGUGGAAGGUUGAAAUGUAGAAUCAGUAAAGUCACAGUGGAGAGCUGCUCAAAUGUUCAUACGGGCAGCCUUUCCCUGGGUCUAAAUGCAACUGCACACGAUGCCAACAUUCUUUCCUUUCUGUUUCACGAGCAGGCGUACCCUUGUGGACUCAAGGGCAAAUUCAGCUUCUCUGUCUCUUCAGUGUCUUUAUAGACCAUACGGUCUGAGUUGUGCGGAUUCCCUUGAUCUGCAGCCUCCCCGCAAAAAACCCUGCCAUUUGCAUUCUUAAGAUUUAUUAUUUCUUCCCUCCUUAUCCCAUUUGUCCCCAGCUUCUUAUUUGAUGAGAGAUAUGGUUGUGAAGUUCUUAUUCUUUGUGCCUACCUAUAAAGCAUUGAAACAAAAUGUCUAUAUUAAUUUAGGAAAAUAAAUUUUACCUCUAAGGGAGGGGUUUUAAAACAUUUUUUUGAUUGUUAAAUGUUCCUUUUGUUUAAAAACAAAACUGUUUUCAUAUUUCCUUGACCAGUUAGGGUUGGGCAAAAACAAACAAACAAACAAACAUGUUUUAGGAUACAGAGUGGAUUUGGCCUGAAUCUGGGGUGUCUGUUAUUCCCUUGGAGAGAGACACCAUCAUAACUGUUCUACACUGAUUUUCUUUUCUAGCUUAAAAAUAAACAAGGAAAAAGAAGGAA